Molecule: ribosomal RNA, 253 nt
Filed under: uncultured bacterium
Lineage: Bacteria
Description: partial 16S ribosomal RNA
Rfam family: Bacterial small subunit ribosomal RNA
Source: RNAcentral
UACGGGGGGGGCAAGCGUUGUUCGGAAUUACUGGGCGUAAAGGGUUUGUAGGUGGCUUGUUAAGUCUGACGUGAAAUCCCUCAGCUUAACUGGGGAACUGCGUCUGAUACUGGCGAGCUUGAGUGCAGGAGAGGAACGCGGAAUUCCAGGUGUAGCGGUGAAAUGCGUAGAUAUCUGGAGGAACACCGGUGGCGAAGGCGGCAUCCUGGACCGAAACUGACGCUGAGGAGCGAAAGCCAGGGGAGCAAACGGG